This 66-nucleotide transfer RNA is filed under the name Hemigrapsus sanguineus. Its description in RNAcentral is "tRNA-Ser". The record is from RNAcentral. Lineage: Eukaryota; Metazoa; Arthropoda; Malacostraca; Decapoda; Varunidae.
GAUUAUUUAGUUUAAAAAAAAUAAAUGUUUUGAAAACAUUAGAUAAGAACAGCUUCUUAAUAAUUG